GAAGAAAUGAGUGACCUUGGAGUAGUGGGAUUGCUAGAUGCACCCUCCAAGGGGCCGGCCUCUUUAGAGAGAAAGGGAGAGACAUGUUCUCUCCAAUUUUCUCUAAAACAAACCCCUUAAUGAAUUUUGGCUAUAAAGUCAUAUUUAUACCUUUAUUCAUUUGAGUGGCAAACUUGUAAAUAAGUCCAAGUUCACUACCCUUAACCAUAUGGCCGGCCUUAGGGUGUUGUUUGGGCUUUUGGGCUUUUGUGAAUUAAGUUGUCAUACAACUUAAGUCAAUGGGCUUGACGUUCGAAACCCAUUGGGCCUAAACGUCCAAAACUAUCCCGAUGUCUUUAACGAACUUAUUCGUUUGAUUAAUUAACAUAUUAAUUAAUCAUUGCCAUAAAUAAUUAAACCAUUUAAUUAUUCUUACUCAUCUCCAUUGUUUCUUCAAUCUCCACCUUACACAGUGUACGAUCCAUUAGGUUCCUUUUAGCGAGGCAGUGGGCGAUUCAAA
RNAcentral lists this long non-coding RNA (499 nucleotides) under Malus domestica (apple). Its description in RNAcentral is "long non-coding RNA (MDOM_LNC007919)". The record is from RNAcentral. Lineage: Eukaryota; Viridiplantae; Streptophyta; Magnoliopsida; Rosales; Rosaceae.